UGAUAAUUAGAAUUAUUAGUGAUCCACAUUUUUUUAUUUUUCGUCAUUUUUAUCAAAACUCUGAAUUCUUUCUACUGGAGACACACGUUUCAAUCUUCUGACUGUGGGACCCAUGGUGGUUCAAAGCUAAUGCAGCUAGCGUAAGAUGGAAUGGAAUGUCCUUUGUGAACCGGCUGUUUCACCUCCAUAUAUGUACGUAGCUGUUCGCUUAGCUAAUAUCUCUGUGGAAGCCAACGAAAAGCCACGGGUACCGCGUUGGAGGCCAGAAACACCACGACCUUCGUUAUACCAAUCGACUUCUUCGUUAGAAAAUAGUAAAAUAUUCACUAGUUAUUUUCUUUGCUGAAAAGUGAAAAAGAAAUAAAACAAAUUUCACAUUAGGAAAUAGAAAUUUAACUCAUGAAUUUUUGUUUAUUUUUAUCUAUGUUACAAAAUGAAAUUUAUAUUUUACGAGGUUAGAAUUCCUAGUUUGAAAUGUUGUGAUGUAAUUUAAUGCUGGUUUUAGUUAUUUCUUAUUUCGAAAUUAUUCUGGAAAGAAUUUUAAAUUUCACUUUAGAAAUUGAAAAUUGUUUUUAAUGUAUUCGUUCUUAAAAUAUAGAUAAUUGAGAUAUGCAUAUGCUGUCUUUAGAAUUUAUUACUAAAAUUUAUUACUAGAUCAAAAAUAUAUCAUUUAAAAAAAGAUCAUUUUUGAGUUAUAUAAUUGUUAAUCGAGUUCUUUAAAAUAUUUUUUUGAUAUAUUAAAUAAAUUAAAAUAAAUAUAAAAAUCAUCAACUUCUGAUAAUUUAAAUAUUAUUAAAUCUUUAAAAGAUGCACUUUUAUAUUAAACACAUUUAAAAUAUAUAUAUAUAUAACAUUUCCUAAGAAUGCUCAAAUAUCAAUUUAGAAGUGAAAAAUGGCGGAUGCGAAGGGAUCGGUUUAUUCAGCAGAGGGCGCCUGUUCUCUACGAAAAUUUCUGCAAGCGUACAUCACAUAUACGUAUACGUAUGCACGAACGAACAGCUGCGUUUGAUUCGUACGGUAAACUCAACGUUCUAAUUACGACAAUUGGCUGUCAUUGUUCUUAGACAUAUACGUAAGACUGGGAGAACGAUUAACGUGAUGGUAACCAGUGACUACUUGGAAACUGUGGCCCUACGGUGCUCGCGACGAACGUUUUCGAACUGCACGUGAAAUUAAGGCAACAAUAUUGCGACAGAAAAAAAAAAAAAAAGAAAAGAGGAUUAAACAUCAUGCAUUUUCCUUCACGCUAAAUACGAGAAUUAAAUUCAUAACCGCAAUUCCAUUCGUGAUAUUUGACGGAACUAAUAUGGUGGAACGAUGGAUUGACGCGUGUAAUUAGAAAGCACAUACGCGCAUUUACGCGGAAUCGGUGCGUUUGUUUUGCAAUUAGCGAGUUGCAAGUAGGUCUUGAACAAUUGAAUUGCAACGUUCACUCAUGCUUGGUUUUUCUUAUGGAUCAAUGGGAUAACUAGCUUUGAUAACGAAGGAUAAUCGUUGGGCUAGUCUUUCAGUGAACUUUAUUCUGCAACUAUUGUCAUCGAUCGUCAGUUUAGAAAUCAUUUUAAAGAAACAAUAAUUAUCAUUAUCAUAUUGUGUUAACUUUAUGUUGAACUUGGAACGAUAUUAAAGAUAUUUAUGCCAUUUUAAGAACAAAAAUAUAAAGAUAAAAAAAUAUAAAGGAAGUGUUUCAACAAUUGGUUACUUCUUUAGGAGUAAUUUGGGUGUUAAUUAACCAAAGCUGAUUGGGUCCAUUACAAUCGAUCUUUCCCAUAGAAUAGUGAUAUGCAAAAUUCGACAUUAGCCAAAGCGUGAUCAAUCGCCGUCCUUAAUUAGUUAGCUCGCCACAUUUAUCUCUAGGUAUUAGCAAUCCUAAUCCUCGCCAUUCUUCCUGUGGCCAGGAUCUUUAACGAAAUCUCAAAAAUUAUCUUUAAAAAAAACUCUUUUAUCUGAAACGAAAAAAAGGAUAAAAGUGAGAGUAUUUCCUAGAGGACGCGAACCUUCACGUAACGAACCGAUCGAGUUACUCGGAAGCUGUGCUUAGGCUAAUUUCAUCGGCGAUCGAUUUUCUAUUUCUCACGAGGUUGGACGUUGAACCAGUCUUUUCCUUUCUAAGAAUAGAAGAUUUUAUAAAUAAUAUUGCUCAUUAAAUGCUAAUGUAGGAUGGUCCAACUACUGUAUAGAAAGGAUUUGAUGAAAACAGCGUUCGCUCAUCGACGUUUUUUCCAUGCCGACAACACCGCGGAGAAUGAUCAGAACGAGCAAUCCCAUACGGAGGCGCCGCUGCUCGAAGAAAAACGAUCUGGCGAGCAGACAUCCGAGACAACUUGCUUUCUUUUUCUUACCAUUUCUUCUCGUCUUUCUCCUCCUGUCUCUCAGUCUCUCCAGUCUUUUUCAUUUUUCCCUCUUUUUCGCCCUGAUCCGUUUGUCAUGUUUCUUCGUUUCUUCUCUUGCUAUAUUCUUCCCGUUUAAUCCUUUUCGAUGACCAUUUAUAUCUUUUUUCUACUUUUGUCUUAUAUAUUUGGUCUUUGUAUUUUUUUAUUCUUAUUUUUAUCUGGACAAUUUCUUUCCCCCUUUUUUUGGUUUGAUAGACUUUAAGAAAAACAGAUUUUUCUUACUUUUUUUUAUUGUAUAUCUUUUUUUCGAUUCUUAGUUUAUUACUUUUUAUUUGGAGAUUAGAUUUUAAAUUUCUGUUUAUUCUUGUUUUUCUUUUCUUCCUUUAUCUUUUAUCGUAUAUUGAGUACGAUAUAAUUUUUUUUCUAUUUUCUUUUUUUUUAAUUUCAUUUGUUUACUACUCUUUAAAAAAUAUUAUCUUUUCUUUUACAUUUCUUCUCGAUUUCUUUUUUCUGAUACUUUCUAUUCUCUAACAAUAUUUCCAUCUUCUCAAUUAUAUUUCCUUUUCUUCAUUUAUCCAAAAAUUAUAAAAUUUCUUUCUAUCAAUCUUUUCUCUAUUUACAAAAACAUUUUCAAAAAAUUUAUCAAUUCCUCCUUCUCUUUAUUUUUAUCAAUUCCUCCUCUUUAUUUUUAUCAAUUCCUCCUCCUCCUUAUUUUUAUCAAUUCCUCCUCUUCUUUAUUUUUAGCAAUUCCUCCUCCUUCUUAUUUUUAUCAUUUUAAAAUUUCACCAUAGAAUUUUUCAUCGUGCCAUGCCUCUUCUUAACAUCGUAAGAACGGAUUAUUUUUAAUCGGAUAUAAUCUCUUUCUUUUGAAUUUCUCUUUCCUAAUCUUACCUUUUCACCUCCCAUUCCAAAAAUUUAUCAAUUCCUCCUCUUCUUUAUUUUUAUUAAUUUCUCCUUUUCUUUAUUUUUAUCAAUUCCUCCUCUUCCUUAUUUUUAUCAAUUUAAAAUUUCAUCAUAGAACUUUUCACCCAUGCCUCUUCUUAACAUCGUAGGGGCGGAUUAUUUUUAAUCGGAUAUAAUCGGAAAUAUCUGCAAGGAUUAAAGUGAAAAUUCGAUCGGAAUUUCCAUUCGAUUGGACGAUUUCUCUUUCCUAAUCUCACCUUUUCACCUCCCGUUCCCUCCAACAAUACUUCCACUUUUCUCAAUUAUACGCAACGUUUUUCUCUCCCUCUCCAUAACCAAGUUACGCCGCACGUUCAUAUUCUUCUUUCACAAACUCGCUUCUUCAUCGGUGCCUCUCUCUUAACCCUUCCUCUCGAGCAUCCUCCCCACCCCUCCUCUCCGCAAGACGCGCGGCGUCGUCGGAGAGGGUGGGAGGGGCGCGGUGCAGAACGCACUGGCGCCGUCCUGCUGCACGCAUUAUUCCACGCGCAUUUUUCCGCGUCGAUCUGUGCCGCGGCACGAGGCAUGGGCCCGCUUUCUGGGAGAGGAUACCCGCUCUGGCACGUGACCGGUGCGUAUACGCGUACGGUACACUGGAAACGUUCGUGUGAACCUGGACAGGUUCGGGUAACAGGUUCGAAAGAUAAGAACCGCGUGAUUGUAGUUUAUAGCGACAGAACUAUUCGUUGCAAGUUAUAGUGGGAAUUAGGAAGAAAAAUAGGGAGAAAAGUAAUGGUUUUUAUGCCUUUAGAGAGGUAUUGCUUUCUAAUUUUGUGUAUCUUAAUAGAUGGAUUUGAAAUAGAUUGAAAGAUUGAAAUUUAAAAGCAAUAAAUGAAAGCGACUAAGUUCUUUAAUUUUGAAAAUUUUUAGAGUCCAUAAAGAUACAUAGAUUUGAAAAUUCAUUUGAAGUUUAAUUAAAGUUUCUAAUGGUAUUUCAAAGAUUUUAAGAUUUGUAGAUAUUUAAAGACUUUUCAAAGAUCAGAGGGCAUUGAAGGAAAAAAAAUUUUAAAUCCUGAAAAUUCUAGAGAUUUAAAAUUCUAAUAAUAAUAUGAUUUCUUCAAAGGUUGAAAAGAGAUGAGAACAUUUAAAAAUCGUAUUUUCUAUAAAAUUGGAUACAGGAAUUAAUUUUCAUAAUAAUCUCUAAUCACACAAUUCAUUUACUGGUAGCAAGUUUCCCUUCUAACAACUAGUCCAAUAAUUGUUCCAAUCAACUUGUAAUUAUAAAUCUAUUCGUGUUAAUUACACUUAUAAAAAAUUAAUUUUCCACAUGUUUCACAAUUCUCUAGAACUUUUCAUUAUCAAUGCCAAUUUUCUAAAAUAAAAAUUUUAUAUUAUUAUUGCAAGAAAUGAAACUAUAAAAUGUUUCCAUAAGAUAAUUAAAUUUUUUAUUGCAAUAAAUUGAUUAAAUUUUUUUAAAUUUUUAUUAUUUUGAGAAUGUUCUUUAAUAAUAAUUAAAAAUUCUAAAAAUUUCCAGAAAUAUCUAUCACUAUUGAAAAUAAUAAAAAUUUUAUAUCUUAUAUUUUUAUAUGAAUAUAAUUUAAUGUUUGUAGAAUUAUCAUAAGAAACAAAAUUGUAUGCAAGCCAUAUUCCAUGAAUUAAUGAUCUUCAACGAGUAUUCCGCGUGCUACUCGCUGGCACGAUGGCCUACUUCGGCCUGGCGCCAGGCAUAAAACGGGAAAAGAAUCAUAUGAUUCUUAACCACGAUCGAAUUGAUCGUCCACAACUCUCAGGUGAAAUUUUCACCUCUGUCUCAUUAUUAUAACUUUCGUUAUAAUUUAUUCGUUUCAUCAAUUUAUGGUUUCCUCAACUUCAUAUUUAAGUGCGAUCUUCUCAGUACUUUAUGUUCCUUUCUUGCAAAUUGCCUUAUUGAUUCAUAUUGAAAUAAUUUGGUAAAUCAGAUUAAUGAUAGAUAAUUACAGUUUUCUUAUUCAGAGGCUUUAAAGGAAUAAAUAUAAUCCAAUUCUUCAAAAGUACUUGUAUUCUAUAUAAUUUAAGAAAAUUUAAUUUAAAAAAGUAAUUUAUUUAAUUAUUGAGAUAAUUUGAUUUUCAUUAUCUCUUCAUAGUAAUGUUAAUUUCUUUAAUUUAAUAUAAUUUAAGUUAAAUCUAAACCAUUGAGAGGAAUAUUAAAUUUUUAUAAAUAAAAAUAAAAAAGUAAUUUUUAUUUUUGAUAAUUAUAAGGAUUGCUAAAAGUAUUUUAAACAUAAAUUAAAUUUAAAAUCUUUUUAUUAUUCUAAAAAUAUUCAAACUCAAAUCUAAUAAUAAUAUCUCGAAUAAUAUAAUAAUCUAUCCUUUAGUUAUCGAAGAAAUCAAUUCAUCACUUGACAAUGAAGAGAAUUCCAAAUAUUUUAUAUAUAUAUAUACUUGAAUAUUAAUUAAUUUUUAAUCUCCACGUGUCUUUUUCGAAAUUAUAGGCAUCAUCCUCCAGUUCUUAAGAAUGUCGAGGGUUAGUUUGGACUCCAACGUCGAAAGUAUCCAACGUGUUGAUAAAUAUAGAGCUUGUAGAAGAGUUUUUUCACGCGGAGAGUGGAAUCGAGGCGCGGAACACGCCUUCGUCGUGAAAAUUACAGUUUCAACGUCCAUUUUGUGGUGAAUAAUGCUUGUAAAUAAUGAUAAAAUCCUGCGAACGAGAUACUUUAUUAGUUUGUAUUGUCGUGUAAAUCUUACAAUAUGUAAUGAUCCGAGAAUUUUUAAAGGUUGAUUCGUAUCGCGUGAAAUCGAACUUUCCGGAAUAUUAUUGAAUUAUUGAAUUGUGUAUUUAAUAAAAUUGAUCUUAAAAUGAUAAA
Molecule: long non-coding RNA, 6058 nt
Organism: Apis cerana (Asiatic honeybee)
Lineage: Eukaryota; Metazoa; Arthropoda; Insecta; Hymenoptera; Apidae
Source: RefSeq, a predicted model, not a curated record